RNAcentral lists this ribosomal RNA (339 nucleotides) under uncultured Bacillota bacterium. RNAcentral's name for it is "bacterial SSU rRNA". It matches the Rfam family "Bacterial small subunit ribosomal RNA", at positions 28 to 351 of the family's 1533-position model. The record is from RNAcentral. Lineage: Bacteria; Bacillati; Bacillota.
GACGAACGCUGGCGGCGUGCCUAAUACAUGCAAGUCGAGCGAACGGAUGAAGAAGCUUGCUUUCUCCUGAUGUUAGCGGCGGACGGGUGAGUAACACGUGGGCAACCUGCCCUUUAGUUUGGGAUAACUUCGGGAAACCGGAGCUAAUACCGAAUAAUACUCUAAGCCUCAUGGUUUGAAGUUGAAAGACGGUUUCGGCUGUCGCUAAAGGAUGGGGCCCGCGGUGCAUUAGCUAGUUGGUGAGGUAACGGCUCACCAAGGCAACGAUGCAUAGCCGACCUGAGAGGGUGAUCGGCCACACUGGGACUGAGACACGGCCCAGACUCCUACGGGAGGCAG